This 82-nucleotide transfer RNA is filed under the name Oryctolagus cuniculus (rabbit). It matches the Rfam family "tRNA". Rfam says of the family: Transfer RNA (tRNA) molecules are approximately 80 nucleotides in length. Their secondary structure includes four short double-helical elements and three loops (D, anti-codon, and T loops). Further hydrogen bonds mediate the characteristic L-shaped molecular structure. tRNAs have two regions of fundamental functional importance: the anti-codon, which is responsible for specific mRNA codon recognition, and the 3' end, to which the tRNAs corresponding amino acid is attached (by aminoacyl-tRNA synthetases). tRNAs cope with the degeneracy of the genetic code in two manners: having more than one tRNA (with a specific anti-codon) for a particular amino acid; and 'wobble' base-pairing, i.e. permitting non-standard base-pairing at the 3rd anti-codon position. Lineage: Eukaryota; Metazoa; Chordata; Mammalia; Lagomorpha; Leporidae. The record is from Rfam by way of RNAcentral.
GGUGCUGUGGCUUAGCAGGUAAAGCCGGCACUUGCUGUGCCAACAUCCCAUAUGGGCUCUGGUUCGAAUCCCGGCUGCUCCA